AGUCGAACGGUAACAGGAAGCAGCUUGCUGCUUUGCUGACGAGUGGCGGACGGGUGAGUAAUGUCUGGGAAACUGCCUGAUGGAGGGGGAUAACUACUGGAAACGGUAGCUAAUACCGCAUAACGUCGCAAGACCAAAGAGGGGGACCUUCGGGCCUCUUGCCAUCGGAUGUGCCCAGAUGGGAUUAGCUUGUUGGUGGGGUAACGGCUCACCAAGGCGACGAUCCCUAGCUGGUCUGAGAGGAUGACCAGCCACACUGGAACUGAGACACGGUCCAGACUCCUACGGGAGGCAGCAGUGGGGAAUAUUGCACAAUGGGCGCAAGCCUGAUGCAGCCAUGCCGCGUGUAUGAAGAAGGCCUUCGGGUUGUAAAGUACUUUCAGCGGGGAGGAAGGGAGUAAAGUUAAUACCUUUACUCAUUGACGUUACCCGCAGAAGAAGCACCGGCUAACUCCGUGCCAGCAGCCGCGGUAAUACGGAGGGUGCAAGCGUUAAUCGGAAUUACUGGGCGUAAAGCGCACGCAGGCGGUUUGUUAAGUCAGAUGUGAAAUCCCCGGGCUCAACCUGGGAACUGCAUCUGAUACUGGCAAGCUUGAGUCUCGUAGAGGGGGGUAGAAUUCCAGGUGUAGCGGUGAAAUGCGUAGAGAUCUGGAGGAAUACCGGUGGCGAAGGCGGCCCCCCGGACGAAG
RNAcentral lists this ribosomal RNA (689 nucleotides) under uncultured Pseudomonadota bacterium. RNAcentral describes it as "bacterial SSU rRNA". It matches the Rfam family "Bacterial small subunit ribosomal RNA", at positions 60 to 738 of the family's 1533-position model. The record is from RNAcentral. Lineage: Bacteria; Pseudomonadati; Pseudomonadota.